GACGAACGCUGGCGGCGUGCCUAAUACAUGCAAGUUGAGCGCUGAAGGUUGGUACUUGUACCAACUGGAUGAGCAGCGAACGGGUGAGUAACGCGUGGGGAAUCUGCCUUUGAGCGGGGGACAACAUUUGGAAACGAAUGCUAAUACCGCAUAAAAACUUUAAACACAAGUUUUAAGUUUGAAAGAUGCAAUUGCAUCACUCAAAGAUGAUCCCGUGUUGUAUUAGCUAGUUGGUGAGGUAAAGGCUCACCAAGGCGAUGAUACAUAGCCGACCUGAGAGGGUGAUCGGCCACAUUGGGACUGAGACACGGCCCAAACUCCUACGGGAGGCAGCAGUAGGGAAUCUUCGGCAAUGGACGAAAGUCUGACCGAGCAACGCCGCGUGAGUGAAGAAGGUUUUCGGAUCGUAAAACUCUGUUGGUAGAGAAGAACGUUGGUGAGGGUGGAAAGCUCAUCAAGUGACGGUAACUACCCAGAAAGGGACGGCUAACUACGUG
This 497-nucleotide ribosomal RNA is filed under the name uncultured bacterium. Its description in RNAcentral is "partial 16S ribosomal RNA". It matches the Rfam family "Bacterial small subunit ribosomal RNA", at positions 28 to 507 of the family's 1533-position model. The record is from RNAcentral.